AUUGAACGCUGGCGGCAGGCCUAACACAUGCAAGUCGAGCGGAUGAAGGGAGCUUGCUCCUGGAUUCAGCGGCGGACGGGUGAGUAAUGCCUAGGAAUCUGCCUGGUAGUGGGGGAUAACGUCCGGAAACGGGCGCUAAUACCGCAUACGUCCUGAGGGAGAAAGUGUGGGAUCUUCGGACCUCACGCUCUCAGAUGAGCCUAGGUCGGAUUAGCUAGUUGGUGGGGUAAAGGCCUACCAAGGCGACGAUCCGUAACUGGUCUGAGAGGAUGAUCAGUCACACUGGAACUGAGACACGGUCCAGACUCCUACGGGAGGCAGCAGUGGGGAAUAUUGGACAAUGGGCGAAAGCCUGAUCCAGCCAUGCCGCGUGUGUGAAGAAGGUCUUCGGAUUGUAAAGCACUUUAAGUUGGGAGGAAGGGCAGUAAGUUAAUACCUUGCUGUUUUGACGUUACCAACAGAAUAAGCACCGGCUAACUUCGUG
Molecule: ribosomal RNA, 484 nt
Filed under: uncultured bacterium
Lineage: Bacteria
Description: partial 16S ribosomal RNA
Rfam family: Bacterial small subunit ribosomal RNA
Source: RNAcentral